UACGUAGGGGGCGAGCGUUAUCCGGAUUUAUUGGGCGUAAAGGGCCUGUAGGCGGUUGGUCAAGUUCAUGCUGACAAUCAUCGGCUCAACCGAUGAGGGAGUAUGAAAACUGGCCGACUUGAGAGCGAGAGAGGGACACGGAACUCCAGGUGGAGCGGUGAAAUGCGUAGAGAUCUGGAAGAACACCGAAGGCGAAGGCAGUGUCCUGGCUCGUUUCUGACGCUGAGGGGCGAAAGCCAGGGGAG
This 245-nucleotide ribosomal RNA is filed under the name uncultured bacterium. RNAcentral's name for it is "partial 16S ribosomal RNA". It matches the Rfam family "Bacterial small subunit ribosomal RNA", at positions 524 to 768 of the family's 1533-position model. The record is from RNAcentral.